Molecule: ribosomal RNA, 470 nt
Filed under: uncultured bacterium
Lineage: Bacteria
Description: bacterial SSU rRNA
Rfam family: Bacterial small subunit ribosomal RNA
Source: RNAcentral
CAAGUCGAACGGCAGCACGGGGGCAACCCUGGUGGCGAGUGGCGGACGGGUGAGUAAUACAUCGGAACGUGUCCUGUAGUGGGGGAUAGCCCGGCGAAAGCCGGAUUAAUACCGCAUACGAUCUGUGGAUGAAAGCGGGGGAUCCUUCGGGACCUCGCGCUACAGGGGCGGCCGAUGGCAGAUUAGCUAGUUGGUGGGGUAAAGGCCUACCAAGGCGACGAUCUGUAGCUGGUCUGAGAGGACGACCAGCCACACUGGGACUGAGACACGGCCCAGACUCCUACGGGAGGCAGCAGUGGGGAAUUUUGGACAAUGGGCGAAAGCCUGAUCCAGCAAUGCCGCGUGUGUGAAGAAGGCCUUCGGGUUGUAAAGCACUUUUGUCCGGAAAGAAAACCUCGUGGUCAAUACCCGUGGGGGAUGACGGUACCGGAAGAAUAAGCACCGGCUAACUACGUGCCAGCAGCCGCGGU